RNAcentral lists this ribosomal RNA (467 nucleotides) under uncultured bacterium. Its description in RNAcentral is "partial 16S ribosomal RNA". It matches the Rfam family "Bacterial small subunit ribosomal RNA", at positions 29 to 507 of the family's 1533-position model. The record is from RNAcentral.
ACGCACGCUGGCGGCGUGCUUCACCCCUGCCAGUCGAACGGAAAGGCCCUGCUUUUCUGGGGUGCUCGAGUGGCGAACGGGUGAGUAACACGUGAGUAACCUGCCCUUGACUUUGGGAUAACUUCAGGAAACUGGGGCUAAUACCGGAUAGGAGCUCCUGCUGCAUGGUGGGGGUUGGAAAGUUUCGGCGGUUGGGGAUGGACUCGCGGCUUAUCAGCUUGUUGGUGGGGUAGUGGCCUACCAAGGCUUUGACGGGUAGCCGGCCUGAGAGGGUGACCGGCCACAUUGGGACUGAGAUACGGCCCAGACUCCUACGGGAGGCAGCAGUGGGGAAUAUUGCACAAUGGGCGGAAGCCUGAUGCAGCAACGCCGCGUGCGGGAUGACGGCCUUCGGGUUGUAAACCGCUUUCGCCUGUGACGAAGCGUGAGUGACGGUAAUGGGUAAAGAAGCACCGGCUAACUACGUG